Long non-coding RNA from Pistacia vera, 1416 nucleotides. RefSeq lists it as uncharacterized. The record is from RefSeq and is a predicted model, not a curated record. Lineage: Eukaryota; Viridiplantae; Streptophyta; Magnoliopsida; Sapindales; Anacardiaceae. The transcript has 4 exons.
UUUGCUUUCAAGAUUGUCUCUCUUUUCCAACAUUUUGGUGAUGUUAAAUAACUUAACCAUGCCAUAGUCACUUCACUUUCGCUUUGUCAAAACUGGGUCUAUUUUAAAGAUAUCUUAUUACAGCACAAUAUAGUGAAAUGUUCGAGCCUUGUGGUGAUAUGUUGAGUGCUGGUUUAAUGUUUGAUCAAAUGCCUGAAUGAAACUUGGUUUUUGGACAAGUAUUAUGUCUUCUGUAUAAAAAUGGUCUGAGUUUGUUUUGUUUUAUGUGCCCGUUUUGGGUUUCGGGCCAAUGAGGUUGGUUUCUCUGUGAGCUUAAGGUGUGUGGAGUUGCUAGUGACUUCUAAUGGUUAUGUUUAGGCAGAUUGUGAAAUGUGGGUUUCAGUUAUAUAGUGCUUUUGUAGUGCUUCAGUUCUUGGUAUGUAUGAUAAAUACGUUGACAUUUAAUGUGGUUGUGAGUUUUUAAAUGGCAUACCGUUGUGGGGGAAGAUCUAUGGCGUUAAAGUUCAAAACUUGAAUAGGCUGUUAGGUUGUUUCAUGAGAUGGGUGGUCUAGUUUACGUCCAAAUUCUUUAUUUAUUCUUUUCACUUUAAAUUAGGUGCUAACUUUGUUGGUUUCUGACCUUGUGAGAUUUUUUCCUUAUGUAAUUGUAAAGGAUGGUUUAAAAAUGAUGUUGUUGAGGGUGGAGGCCUUUGUUGAUGUGAAAUGGGGAUUCAGAAAUGAUGCUUGUGAAGUGUUUUGAAUCUGACUAUAUAUCACUAAGCAUCUAUGGUUGAUCUCCUUGGUCGGGCUGAGCAAGUGGACAGGCAGAGGCUUUGAUAAAGAACACUUCAUCUGAUUCAAAAUCGAAAUCUCUCCUUUUGAAGAAUUGCUUGCAUGUCGAUAAAUUUAAAAUCGGAUUAGAUCAAGAAGAGUGGUGGAAACGUUAGAGAUUUAGAAGGAACAUCCAUUCCGCCAAUUGCUGUAACCAGGCACCAACAUGGCCCAACAGAAUCACUCUACUCUGUCGCAGCCCCAAAAACAGCAUUAAGAUUAAGGUUAUUUUAAUAUGACAUCAUAUGAAUUUGAUUCGUUUCUAGGAUUCCCACAAGCGUCCAUCCAAAACUCAUCUACUUAAUUGAGGGAACUGAUGGCUUAUAAACUGGAUGCAAGUAUUACUCGCUAGCUGCAGUUGCUUCAACGUCCAAUCCAACAAGGGGAAACUCAAAUGUGAAUGCUUAAGAUAAGAAGAAAAAGAAGAUUGGUUCCUCCAAGGUUGCUAAAACCACAACUACUGGAAGAAAGAAUAACAUUGAUCCACAGCAAACACGGAAAAGCAAGGGCAAGGUCCCUUGGAGAGUUUAUCCAUGUUUUAUGUCCCAAAUUUUUUUGCAUGGAAAUAUAGGCUAUACGUCUGUCAAAUAGUGGAACACUGUUGAA